CUUGGCCUGGCCAGGACGAGUCGUUGUCGCAUCCUUGCACAUUAAUCCAUUGGUGCCUGGAUCUCGGGCUCAGGAUCAGCAUCCCUCAGUCCUUGGUUCUGGGUCCUGGGUCCUUGCAGCACGCAAAUGAGGGCUCAAGCAAUUUCUAUAACUUGACGUUUGCCAUGGUACGCCACCCCCACCCCACGGACGACCCCUUUUGUCCGGCUUGUACUUGUGUUGCUUCGCUUGCCGCUUUGCUGCCUGUCAGCGCAGCUUAAGAUAAAAACUUUCCUUUCCACCCAAAAAGGGGGCAGGAGCACCAGCAACAACACCAGUCCGAUGAGAGGGCAUAAAAAAAAUAUAUAUAUAUAAAAUAAAAUAAAAAAUAUAGAAAAGUGGGAGGUGGACUGCCUCGAAAGGGUUGACUCUGA
Molecule: long non-coding RNA, 413 nt
Organism: Drosophila ananassae
Lineage: Eukaryota; Metazoa; Arthropoda; Insecta; Diptera; Drosophilidae
Exons: 2
Source: RefSeq, a predicted model, not a curated record